This 1894-nucleotide long non-coding RNA is filed under the name Marmota monax (woodchuck). The record is from RNAcentral. Lineage: Eukaryota; Metazoa; Chordata; Mammalia; Rodentia; Sciuridae.
GGAAGGGCUACUUUUUCAGAGUGUUACCGGAAAUUUUAGCAAGCGAUCGGUUGGUGUGUUUACAUAAGGUUUUGUUGUAAUUAAAUAUAUACGUAUAUUGGAGCGGUCUGCCCUGUAUUUGUUGAAGAGUUCCUGGGGUGAAAUGUCGUUUCAGCCUCAUCAUUGUGAACUAUGCUUGUAUGGGAUAAAUUGAUGGCAAGUAAAUGCCUUGCGCGGCGGAGUGAACCUUUACAUAACUUUAAAAAUAGUUUUUAACGUGUAUUUAAUGUCUACAAAAAGUUUUUUAGUGUCUUAAAAAAACAGAUGUCUUCUUGUUCUUAUGUUGUUGGGAUUUUAGGUUUUUAACAUGAAAUAUAAAUGGGUUUCAUUUUAGGUGAACCCAUUUUUUGCAGGAUUUUGAAUUUAAAGAAUGAAAUAAAUUGUGCUUGAUGUAGUAGUGGUGGAUCUCUAAGAAAAUGUUGUAGAAGCUGUGCUCGUGUGCCUUUCGGGAACACGUCAAAGGGAAUUAAAAUUUAUGGUGUACCUGUGAUGAAACGGGCAUGAUGCUGAGUGUUACACAGCCCAGUGAAGGACAUAUUAUUCCAAUUUUACCGGUUAGAAAAUUGGGGCACUGAGAAAAGUUAUAUAUCUGUUUAAAGAGAAAUUGCAAAUUUUGCAGUUCGAAUUUGGAUUCAAGUGUUGCUGUCUAAAGCCCAGUUCUUUGCAUCAUGCCCUGGGCACUGUAAAUAAAAAUGUAACAGUUCUUUUGCAAGAAAGAGCAAUUUGAAUUUGAAUUUAAAUGUUUCUGACAAACCCCAGUUCUUUGCAUCAUGCCUGGCGCUUAAAAGAUGUAACAUUUCUUUUUCAAAAAAGAGUUGUUAUGUCUACAGUGUACAGGUACAAUGUGAAUGUAAAUUGCAUGUUAUGACCCUGAAGGUUCAUUAUCUAUGUGCUUCAUGACUAAUAGCUAUGUUGGGUAGAUGUGUCAAAUAUUCAAAUAAGCAAAUAAAAGCCAACAGGCAUUGUUCUAAGCAUAUGCUGUGUAUUAAUUUGUUUCAUCCUCAUAAGUAUGAGGUUUGUACUGUUAUAUCCAUUAUACAGACUUAAAAAUGGAAACAGAAUUUAAGUUUUCUAAAGUCAUACAGCUAGUAAGUGGAGGAGGUGAGAUCCAUACCCAGGUAUUCUGGCCACAAGCCUAAAGUCUUAAUGCUAUUUGAUGCUUCCUCUCAUGUAACUAGACAGGAGCUACAGUUGCCUUAACCCAUUAAGUCCCAAAUUUUCAGUUCUGUGAAUAUUUCAAUAUAAUUAACACAAGUGUAUUAAAAUACAUUGGGAACCAUAGGGUGUACAUAGUACUACAUUAAUUACUAUUACAAUUAUAUUCUUAUUGCAUAUUAUAUGCUGUAUUUAAAUUUUAUAGGUGUUCCACAUCUGAAACAAUGGGACAAAAUGGGUUAAAGUAUAAGCAUUCUUGUGGUCAGGAAAACAGUGUCACCUCCAGAUGGAGUCAUUGUUGACAUAGCAUCUUUGCUUUUGGGAAGUGGAACUUGAAUUAAGCCUUGAAGUUGAAUAGAUUCUCCUAGGUGGAGAGACAGCAGGGUAUUGUGGGCAGGGAGCAUGAUAGGAGCCAGAGGCUCAAAUAAUACAAAGUCAGUGUUGAUUUGUAAAUGUGCCACAGAAGUAAAAAUGUCAAGAGCCCUGGGUCAGGCUCAGUGCUAUCUGUGGCCAUAUUUGGCAGCAUUGUAAUUAAUGCAAGUGGGGAAUUGUUUGAAUGCAAGAGCCUAUAAUAGUAGUAGGCCUGCUUUGGCUGCAGAAGGCCAGGUUUUAAAUAUUUUAAGCUUAGAACAAGGGGGCAAAUGGUAAGAGGUGACCUGACAGGUAGUCAGGGUCCAAAUUAUGUAAGGACCUUGUAGGG